GGGCUGCGGGCUGCCAGGGAGCCGGGUUUCUGAAAGGUGUUUCAGUAGCUGUGGCAUCGGAAUGGGGGCCAGCCCCCAGCAAACCGUACUUGAACGCACCCACGUCCUCCGUGCCGGCUGCUGGCUUUCCGGAUGCAAAUUAUGAUAACGUUCCAGAUGGGAACAGUCUAUUUGCAAUAACUGCUGAGUGGGAAGAAAAAAAAAAAAAGAGACUUUUUUUUGUCACAAAGGAAAGAGUGAUCAGGUUGGAAAAUGUAAAUAACACACUUAUGGAAAGCUUUCUGAUGGAAAUGAGGGGCUCCGCCUCACCUUGCUGCAAAGCCGUCAUUUUCAGCUGGGCUGUUUGUCCUCGGGCCUCUGACGAGGCGGCCAAGCCUUGGGAACUUUUGCAAAUAGUCACCGCGUGGAGCACUGAUAUUCAGGACGAUGGGGAGCGCAGAAGGGAAACUAUUUCCACGGAGUCGAGCCCUGUAUUGUUCGCCGCCUCCACCCCCCACCCUGGGUUGGAACGAGAGCUUGCAAUCUGCUUUUGGACUCUGCAGCAGAAUCUGAAUUCUGAAACUUUAUCAAAUACCCCUGGGUCGGAGCAGGCAGUCUGUAACAACAGCUUCAAGAACCCCAAUGCUAAUGCAUCGAUUUCCCUUUAAUAGAAUUUUGUCGUUGAAGGACAGGGCUCCGUCGAGUCCACCCUUCAAUCUUAACCCAUCCCAAGACUGUUCCUUUCCAGUUGAGCUCCAUUCAUUUCUGGUUGAAUAGGUUAAGCAAA
Artibeus jamaicensis (Jamaican fruit-eating bat) is the source of this 766-nucleotide long non-coding RNA. RefSeq lists it as uncharacterized. The record is from RefSeq and is a predicted model, not a curated record. Lineage: Eukaryota; Metazoa; Chordata; Mammalia; Chiroptera; Phyllostomidae. The transcript has 3 exons.